This 124-nucleotide ribosomal RNA is filed under the name Petromyzon marinus (sea lamprey). The record is from RNAcentral. Lineage: Eukaryota; Metazoa; Chordata; Hyperoartia; Petromyzontiformes; Petromyzontidae.
GCCUAUGACCAAAUCAUCCGGAAUGUGCCCGAUGCCAUCAGAUCACGGAAGCUACGCAGGGACCGAACCUCGAUAGCACUUGGACAGGCGACCACCGUAGAAACAAAUUGAUGAAUUUUGGGCC